UACGGAGGGUGCAAGCGUUAUCCGGAUUCACUGGGUUUAAAGGGUGCGUAGGUGGGCAGGUAAGUCAGUGGUGAAAUCUCCGGGCUUAACUCGGAAACUGCCGUUGAUACUAUCUGUCUUGAAUAUCGUGGAGGUUAGCGGAAUAUGUCAUGUAGCGGUGAAAUGCUUAGAUAUGACAUAGAACACCCAUUGCGAAGGCAGCUAACUACACGAUCAUUGACACUGAGGCACGAAAGCGUGGGGAGCAAACGGG
This 253-nucleotide ribosomal RNA is filed under the name uncultured bacterium. Its description in RNAcentral is "partial 16S ribosomal RNA". It matches the Rfam family "Bacterial small subunit ribosomal RNA", at positions 524 to 776 of the family's 1533-position model. The record is from RNAcentral.